AAACUUUAUUGGAUUUUUUUAAAUUUACAUUUUAAAUGUUAUCCCCUUUCCUGGUUUCCCAUCCAGAAACCUGCUAUCCCAUCCCCCCCAACCCUGCUUCUAUGAGGGUAUCUCUCCAUUUAAUUUGAUACUUGAAGCAAUCUCACUAAAAUCAGAGACAAGACAAGGAUGCCCACUCUCCCCAUAUCUAUUCAAUAUAGUACUCAAAGUGCUAGACAGGAAGUGGUAGCAAGAACAACUCAUCUGGAAAGGCAAAAAACCCAAAAUAGUGGGGGAAAAAAUCUUAAUGAUAAAAGAACGGCUGGGGGAAUCACCAUUCCUGACCUCAAGCUCUACUGCAGAGCAAUAGUGAUAAAAAGUGCAUGGUAUUGGUAAAGAGACAGACAGGUUGAUCAAGUGAGGGUUGGA
This 408-nucleotide long non-coding RNA is filed under the name Rattus norvegicus (Norway rat). RNAcentral describes it as "long non-coding RNA NONRATT015759". The record is from RNAcentral. Lineage: Eukaryota; Metazoa; Chordata; Mammalia; Rodentia; Muridae.